Castor canadensis (American beaver) is the source of this 4066-nucleotide long non-coding RNA. RefSeq lists it as uncharacterized. The record is from RefSeq and is a predicted model, not a curated record. Lineage: Eukaryota; Metazoa; Chordata; Mammalia; Rodentia; Castoridae.
ACAACGCCAGGGGUGGCACUCAUAUGCUACUGUGUCAACAUGACUGUGCUCAUGAACUCUACUCCCUAUCCCUAGGGAGAUGAAAGUUCUGCAUUUGGGUGUGAGAAUUCUUCUGAACUAGCUCAAACAACAGAGGUGCUGCAAAUUGACAAUCCCAGGAUCCUGCACAGUCUGGGGCCUGGUGGAGGUCUCAAUGCCAUGCCGUUGAGCUCUGGUGAGGCAAGGGAAGAGAGAAGUUGAAUUUUGAAGGACUUUUGAAGGAAUCUCUUCUUGAAGUUCCCUAUUCUAUCUUGGAUUAAUAAGACCAGGCAGAGUAACCAUGACAACCCUCUGUCAGUCUCCAGUGCAUUGGAUGCCACCACCACACAGGCUUUCAUCCUGGACCUAACUGCUCCACUGGUAACACUACCUAAACUAGCCCUUGGAGCCCAUCAGACUGCCGACCAUCUCUAGCCUCCUUGCAGAGCUUGCUUAAAAACCUACUGUAAUGCUUAUUCCAGUAGAAUUGGAUAAAUAUCUUAUAUUUCUGUAUCUUCCAUAAAUCUACAGACUCCUUGAACACAGAGACUGUAUCUGUUUCUUUCUGAAUUCUCAUCUUUCACACAGGUCCUGGCAAAGACAAAGUCAUUUGUACAAGACAUUCAGGUAUCUCUCCACUUGUAUACAAUUUGUUCUUGACCUAGUUAUUUGCCCCUAGGUCAAAUAACUAGGAAGUGGCAAGACCCCAGGGAGAGUUCCAGGCAGGGCUGGUCAGCCCCUAUCUGCUCUGCUUAGGAAGGCUGUGAGUUAACUAAAGUUGAAUUGAUUUCCAUUUUGCAAAUAAUGUCAAAGGCAAAUAAGAAAGCAACAUUUAAACAAAGACGGCUAAGCACAGUAAAAUUGUUCUGACCCUAACUAGUUGUAUAUCACUGGGGAGAUCUUUUGGCCUCUCUGACAAAUUAGGAAUUUGGUCUCGGAGAUGCUAUCUAUAUCUGUAGUCUCCUAUGGGGCAAAAGUCUUUGGAAGGGGUUUGAAGAAACAGCAAAGUUAAAAGGAACUGGACGAUCCAGCUGAUGGUUAUGAAAGUGGCUGGCAUAGACCUGGGUAUAUAGGGCCAGUUGUCUGUAUCUGCCAAGGUCUUUAUUUGCAGAUUUAACCAACUAUUUUGGGAAAAAAUUGUCUGCACUGAACAUGUACUUUUUUUCCUUGUUAUUUUCCCAUUUCCAUAGAUUUUGCAUUGUAUCAGAUACUGUAAGUAAUCUAAAGAUGAUUUAAAGUAACAGGUGGAUAUGUGUGGGUUAUUUGCAAAUACUUUGACAUUUUAUAGAAGGAACUCUAACAUCCAAGAAUUUUGUGGGUCAACACACACACAUUGUCUGUAUAUUGUGUUAUUUCAUGUCACUAUUCUGUUGUUGUUGCAGGUAAAUUCCCUCAUGGGCAGGAAACGCACCAACUCUUUAGAGACUAAACAUAGGCCAUUUGUCUUACAGAAGAAACUUAAACUCAUGAGGCGUUCCCCCUCUCCUUUCUUUUUCCCUUCACUCGUCUUUCUCUUCUUGCCCUGUCGAACUUGCAAGUCCUCCUCCACCUCUCCCCAAAGCCUGGCAUUGGCUCCUUCAUUUAUCAGAUGUUUUUUAGCAAUAUUAGUGCUAUAAAAUCUGGUGUGGCUGAACAGGCCUUGAGUGAGGAAGGAAGACUAAAGCCUCCUGCUUAUGGGAUUUAGAGGAGGCUCAGACCCUGAUGGCACCAGCAAAAGGCAGCCAACUACAGGCAGGAAGAUGGAGAAUAAUACCAGCCAGCGCCUCUGCAGAGGAAAUGAGUCCAAAACUCACCUUAUUUGGUGCUUCAGUUGAAGAAGCCACCUGUCUCAUUUACCACAGAAGCAGUUUUUUUCAUCCCUUUUUCAAGAUCAAGCCCUGCUGCUUUGAGGAAUGAAUCAGAGAUACUACACUUGUCACAAAAAUAACUAAUGGAAGUGAUUUAUCUUUUUCUUAUUAUAUCACAUGGGAAAGGGCAACAAUCACACGUAAGAUCUAAUUCUCAUUGCUUUAUUGAUCAUGUCUGAAUGCUGACCAUGUUUGUGCUGAAGAAACAAUGUGAGGUCUCAGAUUCUCCAAAAUGGGCAGGCCAGAUUACUUAAUCAAAUCUACAGUAGGAAGUCCAGAGCGGAACAAUGCACUGGCUGGAGUGUUUUGACUUCACUGUCUCCAUGGUAACACACAUGAACAAAUUAAGAAAAAUACGAACAAUUUGUCUUAAGGGUAGGGGUUUGCCAAAUCUUAUUUAGUCUACUGAGUUUUUAAAUUAAUGAUAUUUUAAGUGAUUAAAAUGUUUUCCCAGGAAUUCUCAUGGAAAAAUCUAUUGUGUUUACUAACUUUGAUAUAAUUAAAUGUCCAUAUUGUUGGUGCAAAUUGGUUGUGCAGUGAAAACUAUGAGCUUGCGUAAAUUAAUGUAUAAGCAUUUCAAUAAAGGCUAUGUUGGUAAGAAGUCAAAAUAACCGCUUAAAACCGAAAACUUUUUUUAAUUUAGAUUGUUGAACACUUUAUGAAGUGUUCAUAAAGGCAUGUAAAUACAUCUUUUGUGUGUGUGUGUGUUGCUGUUUUUGAAACCGAGUCUCACUAUAUAGCCCAGGCUGAUCUUAAACUGAAGAACCUCUGCAUCAGUCUCCCCAGUGCUGGGAGCACACCAUCAAGCCCAGCUCAAAUACAUUUUAAAUUUGAAUUUAGACAAAUUAUUCUGGUGUAUGCAGGCUGUGUACUUGGGGGUAAACUAAACACAAUGAAAGCAAGGUUGUUGGAUCCCAGGAUGCAUGAAAGCUUGACACUCAUGAUAGCAAAGUCCAAGGACUCUCAGUUCACGUUCAAUCUGGAAUAUUUAGAAGCCAUUGUCAUCUAUGAAAGGCCCAGGAGUGGUACAUAACAACAUCCACUGCCUCGCAAGGCUACAGAAUGGGUCAAGAAUGAAGUGCUGCUGGAGGGUCAGGAAACAAUGGCAGUGUGCCUCCUUUCGCUCUAUGGUUAAUUGCAAGGGUAGCUAGAGCUAUGGAAGAGAGGUUUGGUGAAGAGUUAAAAAACAAAAAAGCGAAAAACCUGAGCUUCAAGCACUUGCCAGAGUGCUAGAGCUCUCUCCACACUUGGUGUUAAAUGACCCAACACAAGGAAGCCAUUGUUCCUGCUCUAACUAGUGUGGGUCCUGAAAGAAGGGGCAAUAGACAAUGCAGCUCCUCAGGAUGGAGAAGGGGAAAACUAGACAGAGAGAGAGAGAAUGAGAGACAGAGUGAGAGAGAGAGGUAGAGAGAGAGAGUUAUCUUUCAUAGUUCUUCAGCGAAGCUGGAGAUCCUACUAAAGAAAUAUGCUGUGCAUUUGUGACCUCUUUCUCCAUCUCUCCAUAGCUCUCUCUUUCUCUUGAUUUUUCAUUGUCUCACUUUCUCUGUUUAAGAAUCACAUUCCAUACUAUACCAUUAUCAUUCUUAGUUAAUAAAACUUCAUAAGGUUCUGAGUUUUGUGACUGUAUUGUUAACCAUACGUUGCUACUCUGGGAGACUGAAUGACAAUUCUGGUCAAGAUUCUGUGCACAAAGUAAGCAAAGCAGUCAACCAGUGCUUCCCAACACUCUCUCUUAACCAUCCUGUGUCUGAGUCACGAGAAGAGGACUUCUGCUUCAAUCAGCCCAUAAAGCAGGAGACACAAACUCAACAAAUCAACUAGACUCCAAAAUAGAUUUUCUCCUGGUAUUCUUCCUUCUCUUUUACAACUAUGGUUUGAGUAGAGUUUAGAUACACUGCAUAAGCAAUUAGCUCAAGAGAGAAAAGAUAUAAAAUCCAGAGAAUGAAGUUAGCUAUUGGUUCUCAUUUCUGAAUCUUACUGGUAUCCAUUAGCUGCAGUUUUUGGACUUCAGAAAAUGUGUUUGCUAAAAGACUAGAUCUGAAGUAUUCUCACUGUACACACAACAAGGUAACUGCAUCAGAGAUGAAGCCAGGACAUCUGGCUUGAUUGUUACAAUUAACUCACGAUGAAUUUCUACAUCAAAAUCCCACCUUGUGCACCUUGAAUAUAUACAAAUUUGUCAGUCAUACCUCAAUAAAAAA